This 265-nucleotide ribosomal RNA is filed under the name Fusarium oxysporum. RNAcentral's name for it is "partial 18S ribosomal RNA". The stretch from base 1 to 68 matches the Rfam family "Eukaryotic small subunit ribosomal RNA", at positions 1764 to 1831 of the family's 1831-position model. The record is from RNAcentral. Lineage: Eukaryota; Fungi; Ascomycota; Sordariomycetes; Hypocreales; Nectriaceae.
CUUGGUCAUUUAGAGGAAGUAACGGUCGUAACAAGGUCUCCGUUGGUGAACCAGCGGAGGGAUCAUUACCGAGUUUACAACUCCCAAACCCCUGUGAACAUACCACUUGUUGCCUCGGCGGAUCAGCCCGCUCCCGGUAAAACGGGACGGCCCGCCAGAGGACCCCUAAACUCUGUUUCUAUAUGUAACUUCUGAGUAAAACCAUAAAUAAAUCAAAACUUUCAACAACGGAUCUCUUGGUUCUGGCAUCGAUGAAGAACGCAGC